AAAGACCAAUGAUGAUCUGUCUGCUUCUUCACACAUCAUUUUAAACGGAACAAUGAUUCCUCUCAUCCCGUUUUUUUACGUCUCUUGUCCUUUUUUGUUUGUAGAAUUUUCGUUAGUUGCAAGUUUUUUCAUUUUUUUUGUCUGUUGUUAUUUUUAUCCCGUUUUUUUUCGUGCCGGACGAUGUACUUCGUUUAGUGUGCUUUCUCGCAAGCAUUACCUUCUACCACCCAACCAACUUCAUCAUAUUAUCCAUCCAUCUCACGAAAGUUUUUU
This is a long non-coding RNA of Anopheles funestus (African malaria mosquito), 273 nucleotides long. RefSeq lists it as uncharacterized. The record is from RefSeq and is a predicted model, not a curated record. Lineage: Eukaryota; Metazoa; Arthropoda; Insecta; Diptera; Culicidae. The transcript is spliced from 2 exons.